Molecule: small nucleolar RNA, 89 nt
Organism: Prosopis cineraria
Lineage: Eukaryota; Viridiplantae; Streptophyta; Magnoliopsida; Fabales; Fabaceae
Product: small nucleolar RNA snoR114
Exons: 1
Source: RefSeq, a predicted model, not a curated record
GAGCCGUGAGGAGAUUCUCGCACAUCCUGUGGUUGAUGUUCAAUCACACUCAUCUGAUCUGACGGAUGACAUCUCGUGCAUCUGAGCUC